AGGACCCUCCUGAAGAAUGGGACAGGACCCUCCUGAAGAAUGAGAUGUUAUUUUUCUAUUUCACCUUUUAUGUUGAGUUCAGGAACAUAUUUGAAAAAUCAGAAAUAGAAAGUCCAGGAGCCCGCCUGAAGAGCAAGGUGGAUAAAUGAGAAAGUUUAGGAGCCCGCCUGAAGAACAGGGUAAAGAAAUUGUAAGUCAAGGAGCCUUCCUGAAGAAUAGGGUGGACAUUAUCAGUUGCAAGUUAGGAGCCUGCCUGAAGAAUCGGUUGAAGAUUUUCAAAUCCAAGCCAAAAGAAAAGCUGAAGAAUAAAUCAAUUGUCAAGUUCCCCUCUAAUACCAACAAGGAGGAACAUUUAGUGUAUCAAAUUCAACUCAGAAUAACGACUAUCUCACUAUUUGAGAAGUCAUGAAGAUUCAAGUCAAGAUUCCAGAAAAGAUGAGCAAUAGAUAGGAUCUUUCACUUGUAUCUUCAUUUUCAUUUUUUAUUUUUUAUUUGGAUGUAAAAAGCAGAAGUCGCAAACCGAAGACUCGAUGGAACCUGACUCGAACUCUAGCUCAUUGUCUCCCUAUUUUGCCUUUUUGAACUACACAUGACCUGAUUCCCUUAUCACCUGGGAUAUGUAGGUUGUCCAAAACUAGGACUCGGUCACAUUUUUUUUUCUUUCUUUUAUAUUCUUUUUGAAUAAUUGGAAAAUCAAAAAUCAUAUCUUUGUCUACUUCUUUGUAUGAAAACUUUUUG
RNAcentral lists this long non-coding RNA (738 nucleotides) under Capsicum annuum. Its description in RNAcentral is "long non-coding RNA (CANN_LNC003887)". Lineage: Eukaryota; Viridiplantae; Streptophyta; Magnoliopsida; Solanales; Solanaceae. The record is from RNAcentral.